GCGAAAUAGCUCAGUUGGGAGAGCAUUAGACUGAAGAUCUGAAGGUCCCUGGUUUGAUCCCGGGUUUCGGCG
This 72-nucleotide transfer RNA is filed under the name Amazona aestiva (blue-fronted amazon). It matches the Rfam family "tRNA". From Rfam's summary of the family: Transfer RNA (tRNA) molecules are approximately 80 nucleotides in length. Their secondary structure includes four short double-helical elements and three loops (D, anti-codon, and T loops). Lineage: Eukaryota; Metazoa; Chordata; Aves; Psittaciformes; Psittacidae. The record is from Rfam by way of RNAcentral.